Molecule: ribosomal RNA, 253 nt
Filed under: uncultured bacterium
Lineage: Bacteria
Also listed under: 1 other name
Description: partial 16S ribosomal RNA
Rfam family: Bacterial small subunit ribosomal RNA
Source: RNAcentral
UACGGAGGGUGCAAGCGUUGUCCGGAUUUAUUGGGUUUAAAGGGUGCGUAGGCGGCCUGGUAAGUCAGUGGUGAAAGCCCAUAGCUCAACUAUGGAACUGCCAUUGAUACUGCCAGGCUUGAGUACAGACGAGGUAGGCGGAAUUGAUAGUGUAGCGGUGAAAUGCAUAGAUACUAUCAAGAACACCGAUUGCGUAGGCAGCUUACUAGGCUGUAACUGACGCUGAGGCACGAAAGCGUGGGGAGCGAACAGG